This is a long non-coding RNA of Herpailurus yagouaroundi (jaguarundi), 409 nucleotides long. RefSeq lists it as uncharacterized. The transcript is spliced from 3 exons. NCBI's taxonomy places the organism in Eukaryota, Metazoa, Chordata, Mammalia, Carnivora, Felidae. The record is from RefSeq and is a predicted model, not a curated record.
GGUGAAAGACCUCGAGUCCCCAGUAUACUCAAAGCGUGGUCCUCGAGUCAGCAGAUCGGCACCACCUGGGAGCGUGUUAAAAAUGCUCAGACUUCGUCCCAAACCUAUUGAAUCAAAAUCAGCAUAUUUAGCAGGAGCCCAGGCUGGGGCCAUCACGUUUCAAGCAUGGAAUCGGUGGAAGGCCCCCAUAGGAAAACCCCUUUGGCCUUGGUUGUCGCGUGGCCUUUCUCGGAGCGUACAGGAGUAAAAAUGCAAAGACCCACACCAGGCUAAGAAUGUAAUCCCCAGAAGGACAAGAAUUUCUGUCUCUGUUCCCUGCUUUAUCCCCAGCACCUAGAUUAAUGCCUGGCACACAAUAUUUGCGCAGUAAGUAUUUAUUGAUGUCUGUGAUACCCUUCUUAAUGUCAAA